RNAcentral lists this ribosomal RNA (431 nucleotides) under uncultured bacterium. Its description in RNAcentral is "partial 16S ribosomal RNA". It matches the Rfam family "Bacterial small subunit ribosomal RNA", at positions 29 to 505 of the family's 1533-position model. The record is from RNAcentral.
AACGAACGCUGGCGGCAUGCCUAACACAUGCAAGUCGAACGAUACCUCCGGGUCUAGUGGCGCACGGUUGCGUAACGCGGGGGAACCUGCCCUUAGGCUCGGCAUAACUCUCCGAAAGGGGUGCUAACUCCGGUUAAUUUCUUCGGACCCACGCUUUGUCGCCUUUGUAUCGGCCCGCGUUGGUUUAGCUAGUUGAUAGGGCAAAAGCCUACCAACUCGACGGUCCAUAGCUGGUCUGAGAGGACGACACGCCACACUGGGACUGAGACACGGCCCAGACUCCUGCGGCAGGGAGCAGUGGUGAAUAAUGGGCGAUGGGCGAAAGCCUGGUCCCGCAGUGCGGGGUGAGUGAUGUAGGCCUUAAGAUUGUAAAGCUCUUUUACGCGGGAUGAUAGUCACAGUCCCGAGAGAAUGCGCUCCGGCUAACUCCG